RNAcentral lists this ribosomal RNA (465 nucleotides) under Vreelandella stevensii. RNAcentral describes it as "partial 16S ribosomal RNA". It matches the Rfam family "Bacterial small subunit ribosomal RNA", at positions 338 to 795 of the family's 1533-position model. Lineage: Bacteria; Pseudomonadati; Pseudomonadota; Gammaproteobacteria; Oceanospirillales; Halomonadaceae. The record is from RNAcentral.
CCUACGGGUGGCUGCAGUGGGGAAUAUUGGACAAUGGGGGGAACCCUGAUCCAGCCAUGCCGCGUGUGUGAAGAAGGCCCUCGGGUUGUAAAGCACUUUCAGUGAGGAAGGACGCCUGGUGGUUAAUACCCAUCAGGAAAGACAUCACUCACAGAAGAAGCACCGGCUAACUCCGUGCCAGCAGCCGCGGUAAUACGGAGGGUGCGAGCGUUAAUCGGAAUUACUGGGCGUAAAGCGCGCGUAGGUGGCUUGAUAAGCCGGUUGUGAAAGCCCCGGGCUCAACCUGGGAACGGCAUCCGGAACUGUCAAGCUAGAGUGCAGGAGAGGAAGGUAGAAUUCCCGGUGUAGCGGUGAAAUGCGUAGAGAUCGGGAGGAAUACCAGUGGCGAAGGCGGCCUUCUGGACUGACACUGACACUGAGGUGCGAAAGCGUGGGUAGCAAACAGGAUUAGAUACCCUAGUAGUC